GGUUGUGUAGUGUAGCGGUUAUCACUUUCGGUUCUGAUGCCUCGGCUUCCGAACAACCCCGGUUCGAUUCCGGGCACGACCU
Transfer RNA from Saitoella complicata NRRL Y-17804, 82 nucleotides. It matches the Rfam family "tRNA". Rfam says of the family: Transfer RNA (tRNA) molecules are approximately 80 nucleotides in length. Their secondary structure includes four short double-helical elements and three loops (D, anti-codon, and T loops). The record is from Rfam. NCBI's taxonomy places the organism in Eukaryota, Fungi, Ascomycota, Saitoellomycetes, Saitoellales, Saitoellaceae.